CAUAGAGGAACUUCUACGAAGACCGUCCACGUCCUGUGGACAACGUAGAAGUCAGCACAUCCUGUGCA
This is a small RNA of Virgibacillus necropolis, 68 nucleotides long. It matches the Rfam family "Bacillaceae-1 RNA". The record is from Rfam. Lineage: Bacteria; Bacillati; Bacillota; Bacilli; Caryophanales; Bacillaceae.